GUGGUGUGGUGGUGCACACCUGUAGUCUCAGCUAGUCGGGGUGCUGAGGCAGGAGGAUUCUUGAGCCCUGGAGUCCUAGGCUGCGGUGUGUAAUGUCCAUCAGGAGGUGUCUGCACUAAAUUGAGCAUCAGUAUGGUGAUGCUCCCAGGAGGGAGAGGGGGCUACCAGGUUGCCCAAGGAGGGAUGAACCAGCCGGUUGGAAAUAGAGCAUCUCAAAACUCCAGUGACAAUCAGUAAUGAGGCUGCACCUGAGAACAGCCACUGUGGUCCAGCCUGGGCAACACGGAGAGACCACAUCUCUU
Pongo abelii (Sumatran orangutan) is the source of this 302-nucleotide unclassified non-coding RNA. It matches the Rfam family "Metazoan signal recognition particle RNA". Rfam says of the family: The signal recognition particle (SRP) is a universally conserved ribonucleoprotein. It is involved in the co-translational targeting of proteins to membranes. NCBI's taxonomy places the organism in Eukaryota, Metazoa, Chordata, Mammalia, Primates, Hominidae. The record is from Ensembl.